Molecule: ribosomal RNA, 300 nt
Filed under: uncultured Vagococcus sp.
Lineage: Bacteria; Bacillati; Bacillota; Bacilli; Lactobacillales; Enterococcaceae
Description: bacterial SSU rRNA
Rfam family: Bacterial small subunit ribosomal RNA
Source: RNAcentral
GCGCAUGCCGGGCCAGAAGCCGGGGGAAUACGGAGGAUCCAAGCGUUAUCCGGAAUCAUUGGGUGUAAAGGGUCCGGAGGCGGCCGUAUAAGUCAGUGGUGAAAGCCCAUCGCGUAACGAUGGAACGGCCAUUGAUACUGUAGGGCUUGAACUUUUGUGAAGUAACUAGAAUAUGUAGUGUAGCGGUGAAAUGCUUAGAUAUUACAUGGAAUACCAAUUGCGAAGGCAGGUUACUAACAAACAAUUGACGCUGAUGGACGAAAGCGUGGGGAGCGAACAGGAUUAGAUACCCCAGUAGUC